This 294-nucleotide ribosomal RNA is filed under the name uncultured bacterium. RNAcentral describes it as "partial 16S ribosomal RNA". It matches the Rfam family "Bacterial small subunit ribosomal RNA", at positions 773 to 1060 of the family's 1533-position model. The record is from RNAcentral.
GUGGAUUAGAUACCCUAGUAGUCCUGGCCUUAAACGAUGAAUGCUUGGUGUCUGGGGUUAUAAAGUCCCCGGGUGCCGUCGCUAACGCUUUAAGCAUUCCGCCUGGGGAGUACGGUCGCAAGACUGAAACUCAAAGGAAUUGACGGGGACCCGCACAAGCGGUGGAGCAUGUGGUUUAAUUCGACGCAACGCGAAGAACCUUACCUGGGCUAGAAUGCCUCUGACAACCCUAGAGAUAGGGCCUCCAAGGUAAAACUUGGCAGAGUGCAAGGUGCUGCAUGGUUGUCGUCAACU